CACGUUGAAAACCUUCUUGGGGAUCGUUUUAAAACAUUUUAAAAUGGAAACAUCAAAUGAAUUUCCCUAGAAGAGGGAUGGUUUCAUUUCUUGGGACGAUCUCAUCUAUUAAGUACUUUUGAAGAGUACUUGCUAUUUGAAACGUGAAAAUUUUAAAAAUAAAUAUAUGGCGGUACUGCCUGCACCUUCCCGGACCUCGGUUCUCCCUUCUGUAAAAUGGAGUCAGAAAAGAUGGUUCCCAAAUUCCCCUUCCAGGUCUGUAGGUUGGAAGUCCGAAAUGGGUCUGUCGGCUAAAAUCAAGUGUCUGCAGGGCCGCAUUCCUGUCUGGAGUUGCCUGGCGAGAUUCAGUUGCCCGCUAAUUUGAGUUGGGGGCAGAAUUCAGUCCCUUGCAAUUAUCGGGCUGACGCCCCAGUUUUCUUGCUGGCUGUGAGCUGAGGGCCAUUCUCUGCUUCUAGAGGCCCUCACCUUCCUUGGGUCCCUUCCUCCAUCUUAGAGGCAGCAACGGUGAGUUGGGUCUUCUUGAUGUCCACUCUCUGACCCACUCUUCUCCCAUUUUAAAGGCUCGUGUGAUUAGAUUGGGCCCACCUGGAUAAUGCAGGCUAAUCUUCCCCAAUUCAAGGUCUAUAAUAUAAAUCUGCAAAGUCCCUUUUGUCAGGUCCCUUCCAGUCCUUACCUGAUCGUUCUAACUUAUCUCCACAUGAUGGCAGGAGAGAGGAUAAUCAUGUGAGAACGGAGGCCAAUAUUGAUUCUCGUACGAAUGUAAGUGUUCGGGUUUAUUGAGUGUCCGUAAUGUGCCAGACUCAUUUUAAGCACAGCACAGGCCUCAUCGCACAUCAUCCUUCUAGGGGGUACGUGCUGUUACUUUACUGCCAAGGACAUGGAAGCUCAGA
RNAcentral lists this long non-coding RNA (890 nucleotides) under Equus caballus (horse). Its description in RNAcentral is "lncRNA (ENSECAG00000051222.1)". The record is from RNAcentral. Lineage: Eukaryota; Metazoa; Chordata; Mammalia; Perissodactyla; Equidae.